Nothoprocta perdicaria is the source of this 681-nucleotide long non-coding RNA. RefSeq lists it as uncharacterized. The record is from RefSeq and is a predicted model, not a curated record. NCBI's taxonomy places the organism in Eukaryota, Metazoa, Chordata, Aves, Tinamiformes, Tinamidae. The transcript is spliced from 3 exons.
UAGAACAACUGGGGAAGCCGAGGAGCAGCAGGGCACAGGGCUGGAAUGAGCAGACAGCGGCAUCGGAAGCAUGAAUAUCCAAAAUUCCCAUUGCCGCUCAACACCGUGUUCUCAGGAACAAGGGAAAACCUGCGCUAGCAGAACCCUGCUGAGGAGGGACGCCCCCACGGCAGCAGCCUGGAGAGGAGCUGUUGCCUCCUCCGGCUGUGACCGCUCAGACACAGACGUCCAGCUCAGACGUGGCAUGAUGUCCAGGGUCACUUCAUUAACAACUUCUAAGUUUUAUUUAAGGUUGAAGGACAAACCACCCACACUUGGGCUAAUUGGAAGAUCCUAAAUCAUGAGCAUCGAUAACAUGCAUCAAGGACACCCCUAAAUCAUCCACCCACACUUGGACAGAUAACAAAAAUCACACUUGAGCAGUUUGGAGCCUCGAUAACAUACAUCAAGGACUUCAUAAAGGAUACCCCCACACUUGGACAGUUUGGGAAAAAAAUUCAAAGAGUAAGAUAAAGAAGCAGGUGUUGGAACAAAGAACAGCCAAUCCCGAAAGGACAAAACAGCAUAAGGGGGGGGGUUAAUGAUUUUAUAUCCCUACUUUAAAAUGUAUAAAAACCUCUCGUGCAGAUGCCUUGGGGUCCCUGGCAAGACCCCCUUCUAGGGURAGCCUUGGACCCCAGC